GUUCUUAAUUGAACUCAGUUUUAAUAUAGGAUUAUGAACUUUUCAUUAUAAUUAGCUACAUAAUAUAUUUUUAUAAUGCAUUAUUUUUUAUUUAUAUUAGUAUUAAUUAAAAACUGAUGAAUAUAAAAGUAGCACAUUUAAAAUAUGCAUAAUUAUAGUUUCGUAAAUAUAUAACCAAUAUAAUUUAUUUGAGAGUUUUUGUAGAUUAUGAAUAAAAAAAUCUAAAAAAUACAUAAUUAUAUAAUAAUUAAGCACAUUUAUGUCAUUCUCUAUAAUAACGGAAAUUGAAAAUGACAAAUAAAUAUCCAAGUGGUAACCCACUUGGCACGGAGGAACAAAUUUGGUAUGCAAACUGCGUACACGUAUCAAAUGUCAUCAAUCUGACAAAAUUAUUCGUUUCAUUAGAAACACUCAUCAACCAAACUUACCCUAAUAAUGAGAAGUAAAUAAAAAAAAAUAAAAAAACCUUAAAUUUAAGAAUUCUAAUUAAUAUAUAUUUACUAUUUAAGUCAGGCUUCACUUUCUCAGCCAUUUCCUUUAUCUUAUUGAAACAUUUCUUUCCAAAAAAAAAAAGAAAAAGUAAAAAAGCGAAAUUCCUAAAUAAUAUGGAGGAUCUUGGCCGGCCGCCUGUAGUAGCAACUCCAUGACCGCAGCCGUCCUCUUUUCUCCAACUUGCACCGCCACCGCCGUCGUAUCCUCCACCAACCACAGAUUAUAAAUUAUUUUGCAGUUAGUGUUGUUUUGGGCACAGCACCAAGAACUGCAUCUUUCUUCUCACCAUUGACAAAGAUCAUGACUGUUGGAACGCUUCGGAUGCCAUAUUUGGUUGCAGUAGAAGGACUUUCAUCGGUACUCAAUUUGUAGAAGUUUAGUUUUCCAGCAUACUGCUCUGAUAGUUCAGCUACUACGGGAUGGAUGAUUCGGCAGGGUCCGCACCAGGGGGCCCAGAACUCGACCAGCACUGGCCUGUCGGCCUUGAGGACGAGAGACUGCCAUGUCGCAUCAGUCACAGUUGGAACUGGAAUUGAAGUCCACCAAAUAAUUCAACUCAAAUUGUUGUGUAGGAAAAUAUGAUUGUAAUACUGGAAAUAAAACAAUCAAUUUCCCUUUUCUUUUUUA
Molecule: long non-coding RNA, 1119 nt
Organism: Ricinus communis (castor bean)
Lineage: Eukaryota; Viridiplantae; Streptophyta; Magnoliopsida; Malpighiales; Euphorbiaceae
Exons: 2
Source: RefSeq, a predicted model, not a curated record